RNAcentral lists this ribosomal RNA (405 nucleotides) under uncultured bacterium. RNAcentral's name for it is "partial 16S ribosomal RNA". It matches the Rfam family "Bacterial small subunit ribosomal RNA", at positions 30 to 526 of the family's 1533-position model. The record is from RNAcentral.
AUUGAACGCUGGCGGCAGGCCUAACACAUGCAAGUCGAACGAGUGGCGGACGGGUGAGUAAUGUCUGGGAAACUGCCCGAUGGAGGGGGAUAACUACUGGAAACGGUAGCUAAUACCGCAUACCAUCAGAUGUGCCCAGAUGGGAUUAGCUAGUUGGUGGGGUAACGGCUCACCAAGGCGACGAUCCCUAGCUGGUCUGAGAGGAUGACCACCCACUCUGGAACUGAUAAACGGUCCCGACGCCUACGGGAGGCAGCAGUGGGUAAUAUUGCACAAUGGGCGCAAGCCUGAUGCGGCCAUGCCGCGUGUUUGAAGAAGGCCUUCGGGUUGUAAGGUACUUUCAGCGGGGAGGCGUUACCCGCAGAAGAAGCACCGGCUAACUCCGUGCCAGCAGCCGCGUAAUAC